Molecule: non-coding RNA, 252 nt
Organism: Vicia faba (fava bean)
Lineage: Eukaryota; Viridiplantae; Streptophyta; Magnoliopsida; Fabales; Fabaceae
Source: the annotation of a GenBank genome assembly
AUGGAUUUAUUAAUUGAACAUAAAGUAAUAAGAACUAAUAAUACAAAGACAGAAAGGGAGAAAAACCAUCACAGAUUACACAACUCUAUACACAUGAAAGUAAUUUUAAGAAAAAAUAACUCCGGUGAUCUUCACUCAAGAACAACUAGUGAUUACACUCAGCUUCAUGAAACUUCUUCAAACAACAUCGUACUAUGUCUGUUUUUCUGUCCACACACUCUAUAUCCCUUGAAGGCUUUAUUUGCAAAUUGA